GGCCCAAAUUUGAAGUAGAGUAGAUUAGUAUGAUCAGCUGAUCUUAGUAAUCUGCUCUUCUUCAUGUUUGUGCCC
Non-coding RNA from Haemonchus placei, 75 nucleotides. NCBI's taxonomy places the organism in Eukaryota, Metazoa, Nematoda, Chromadorea, Rhabditida, Trichostrongylidae. The record is from Rfam.